This 1338-nucleotide long non-coding RNA is filed under the name Scleropages formosus (Asian bonytongue). RNAcentral's name for it is "lncRNA (ENSSFOG00015026291.1)". The record is from RNAcentral. Lineage: Eukaryota; Metazoa; Chordata; Actinopteri; Osteoglossiformes; Osteoglossidae.
AAUAAUAUUGUCUCCUACCCCAUAUUGUGGGGAUGAGUAGGAGAUGAGAAUCGAUUGAAUGAAGGAAUAUUUCCCAUGGGUCACUGCUUCAUAUGUGACUCAGACUGGAUCCUGAGACGUGUUGCUAUAGCACCGGUGACACCGAAGAGCUCCAGGUGUUCACACACCUACACAUGACAGGACGAUAUGAAGAAAUUUGGAUGCAUCACACAGAGGUUACCUUCUGUCAAGACCCUUCUCCAAUGUCAUGCCCUACUCCAAUGCCAUCCCUGUGUGUUUUUCCACAAUCACCUGAGAAGGUAAUGAGAUAAUGAGUAAAACCACCUGAGCUGAAGACCGUUUACAUUAUUGGCCAACCUGUCAGUGAAAGUUUGUUGAACAUAUCAGGGACAUGUUCCGGGUUUCAGCAGCCAUGCUUUCCGCAGUAAAGAGGACAAGUAAAGAUAGGAAAGUGAAGAGCGAAUUCAUGGGUCGAGUUCUUCUGCAGUAACCCUUCGCAUUGUUUUGUAGAUUCGGGACAGCAGGUGAUCUAGUCCUGAGCACCAUCAACACUCCUCCUGUAGUUCCUCUGGUCAAGGUACUUACCCUGACUGGAUGAAUACAGCCAACAUUUUCCACCCAAAUUAAUGGAUGAAUUACUCUGAGCUUCUUGGUGCACAAACCUAAUAUUGUAAGGUAGCAUGUAGAAAAAGUGUCACAUAAAUGAAUAAAUGUAAAUGUUAAUUGUGAGUCAAUCGCUGGUGAAAAUCAUGCAUUUUGACACUCUCAGAAGUGUGGUCACAAAAUGGAAUGGUUUGCUGUAAUCGGAGUCUCUUUCUUUAGUCUAUGAAUUUGUUUUGAGCAGUUUUAUUUAUUAUGAAUACGUUUAUUCCCGGGUCAAUGUAGGAUGUUCCACCAGGUCGUGGCCACUAGGGGCGCCCGCGGGGAGGAGCCUAUAACCCCCGCACUGCGACCAUCUUCUCGUUAUUAGAAACCCCGGAGUGAGCGGUGAAAUGCUGUCUUUACCGCUCGUUUACCACUUUUCUCCUGGCCAGUACAGCCGCUUGUUCCGAGCGAGGUCGCGGGGAACCGAAGCCUAACCUGGGAACGCAGGGCCGGAGGGGGACACACACACACCCAGGACGGGACGCCAGUCCAUCAGGGCACCAAUCAGGCCUCGAGCCCCAGACCCGCCACCCAGCGGACACCGCCGGGCGAACCCGCUGCGCCACCACGCCUUCCUAUUAUUAUUAUUCUUAUUAUUAUUGUUGUUGUUUUUAAGAUGUGUGCACACUUUGUGAACUUUAACGACGAUACUUAUUCGUUAUAUUACUUUUUAUUAUUAUGUAACUGUUGGAG